This 460-nucleotide ribosomal RNA is filed under the name uncultured bacterium. RNAcentral describes it as "partial 16S ribosomal RNA". It matches the Rfam family "Bacterial small subunit ribosomal RNA", at positions 338 to 795 of the family's 1533-position model. The record is from RNAcentral.
CCUACGGGAGGCAGCAGUGAGGAAUCUUGGUCAAUGGGCGCGAGCCUGAACCAGCCACGUCGCGUGAAGGAUGACUGCCCUACGGGUUGUAAACUUCUUUUAUAAAGGAAUAAAGUGAGGCACGUGUGCCUUUUUGUAUGUACUUUAUGAAUACGGAUCGGCUAACUGCGUGCCAGCAGCCGUGGUAAUCCGGAGGCGCCGAGCGUUAUCCGGAUUUAUUGGGUUUAAAGUGAGCGUAGAUGGGUUGGUAAGUCAGUUGUGAAAGGUUGGGGCUCAACCGUAAAAUUGCAAUUGAAGCUGGCAGUCUUGAGUACAGUUGGGGGAAGCGGAAUUCGUGGUGUAGCAGUGAAAUGCUUAGAUAGCGCGAAGAACUCCGAUUGCGAAGGCAGCUUACUAAACUGCCACUGACAUUGAGGCUCGAAGGUGUGGGUAUCAAACAGGAUUAGAUACCCCAGUAGUC